This 56-nucleotide transfer RNA is filed under the name Triticum urartu. It matches the Rfam family "tRNA", at positions 10 to 63 of the family's 71-position model. Rfam says of the family: Transfer RNA (tRNA) molecules are approximately 80 nucleotides in length. Lineage: Eukaryota; Viridiplantae; Streptophyta; Magnoliopsida; Poales; Poaceae. The record is from Rfam by way of RNAcentral.
GCUCAAUUGGUAGAGUACAAAGCUCUUAACCUUGUGGACGUGGGUUUGAGCCCCAU